RNAcentral lists this ribosomal RNA (274 nucleotides) under uncultured bacterium. RNAcentral describes it as "partial 16S ribosomal RNA". It matches the Rfam family "Bacterial small subunit ribosomal RNA", at positions 523 to 796 of the family's 1533-position model. The record is from RNAcentral.
AUACGGAGGGUCCAAGCGUUAUCCGGAUUCAUUGGGUUUAAAGGGUGCGCAGGCGGACUUGUAAGUCAGUGGUGAAAUCCCGGGGCUCAACCUCGGAACUGCCAUUGAUACUGCAAGUCUUGAGUUUGGUUGAAGUGGGCGGAAUGUAGCAUGUAGCGGUGAAAUGCAUAGAUAUGCUACAGAACACCGAUCGCGAAGGCAGCUCACUAAACCAACACUGACGCUCAGGCACGAAAGCGUGGGGAGCGAACAUGAUUAGAAACCCCAGUAGUCC